Felis catus (domestic cat) is the source of this 5609-nucleotide long non-coding RNA. RefSeq lists it as uncharacterized. NCBI's taxonomy places the organism in Eukaryota, Metazoa, Chordata, Mammalia, Carnivora, Felidae. The transcript has 2 exons. The record is from RefSeq and is a predicted model, not a curated record.
GGCUCGAACUCACAAACUGUGAGAUCAUGACCUGAGCCGAAGUCAGUCGCUUAACCGACUGAGCCACCCAGGAGCCCCAAUAUUAUCUUAAUAUUACAUUUUAACUUAGUAAAUAUUCUUACUAAAGUUAUAUUUUUAGCACAUGUGAUUCACAAGCAUUAGAAAUAGUGUGGCAUCCAGAUGUUUUUAAUGUUUAUUUAUUUGAGAGAGAGAGCACGAGCGAGGGAGGGGUAGAAAGAGGGAGAGAGAGAAUCCCAAGCAGGCCCCACGCUCUCAGCAUGGAGCCCAAAGGGGGCUCAAACUCAUGAACCGUGAGAUCACCACCUGAACUGAGAUUGAGUCAUACUCUUAAGCGACUGAGCCACCAAGGCACCCCCAGAUUUUUUUUUAUUACAUGUGAUUUUUAGGUCUGUCCAGAUAAGUAAAUAUUACGAUUUCUGUGUAGUGAGACUGGUUACUCAUAUAACUAUAGCAGUUGUAGUCAACAGUACUUUCGACUCUGAGAAAGUGUGAAAAAGUAGGGAGGGAGCAGCAGUGCUAAGGGCAGGGGCUAGAUAAACAAAACUGGGAAAAUGCCAGUUACAGCAUUAGCAGGUUUACAUGUUUCCUGCUCUUAUCCAUUCCUCUAAAGGCCGUGGCAUGACCAUGGUCUUCCGGAGGAAAAGAGUAGCCUGACCAAUGCUGGGUAGAAGGAUAACCAGAACAUGUAAGGAAGAAGCUUAUCACAGGUCACUUGGUGAUGCUGCUGGGAUAGGAACGGGGCGGAAUGUCUGGGUUUCACAGUGAGGUCUGUGGGGUCCAUGACCCACAGAUGUGUAACAGCAUCCCAAAGCGCAGAGGGUGCGGCUGAAGAGUUACACACCUGAGUGACAAGUUCAACCAAAUCCUCGUCCAUGUUUGCAUAAUAGAGAUACCAUAAUGGGGAGGGAGAGCGAGAAGGCAGCUAAAGCCAUCAGAAAGAUUUCGUCCUUGAAUUCGUGCUUGGGGGAGGCUGAUGGUUCUGAUUCUCCUGGCAUUCUCACUGGGGAAGUACUCCAGAGGCCUCAUUAUUUCAUUAAUUCUAACAAUGCCCUUGUGGCAUAGGUAAGGUGGCGCAUAUUAUUAGGAACAAUCUUGAUAAUGGGACAUGAAUGAAUCCAUUCAGAACGUUCUUUUACUGGAGGGCAGCACCUCUGGUGGUUCUGAGAGAUUUGUGUCCUUGGCCGAGAUUUUUGCUUCUCUCCCGUCCGGAGCCCUACUCUGGGUUGUGCUCCUGGAUGGGCAGAGUUCAUAAAUCUCUGGGGAGGGGGAGGGGGCAGUCCUGCCAACCGAGGCAGCUUGCAGUGUAGUCGAUCCGUACAGACAGCUGCCUCUGAGAGGAGGCACGGGUGAACAGUGAGCACGCCCUGGGAUUUUUGCACUGCUGCUCCGUGCACAGAGUGGGGCGAUAUUCAGAAUGUGUUGUAUUGAAAAAAUCACCCCAUUCAACAGGGGUAAGAUAAGGACAUAUUUAUCUCACUUCCCCAUCUGAGGAUCUGUCUUGUUAGUUACAAGUUGCUUGUUAAGAGUUUCUAACCCAAUUUUAUUGAGAUAAAAUUUACAUACAACAAGUGCACCGAUUUUAAGUGUGCAGUUUGAGCCUUGACAAAUGUAUGCACUCGUGUAGCCACCACCCCAUUGAGGAUACAGACUAUUUCCACCAUCCUGAAAUGUUCUCUUGUGUCCUUUCCUACCCUGUCUUGUGUAAGUUUAAGCCAGGACAACCAAAGAGCCAAAGUGAUUGGUAAACAACAGUUUAAUGGAAGCCUUCCAUCGACUUAGUCUUUUUCGUUCUCUCCAGCUCAUGAAAAGGGAAUUUAUACUUACCUGGAAAAAAACUGUUAAAACGCAGCAAAAAUAAACCUCAAGAAUGAAGUGUGGGACAAUUCUUCGGAGGCUCCCUCCACACCCCCUUUUGAUGAGUUCUCGUUAUUGUUAAAGCAAAAGGUCCAUCAAAGUAGUAAGUGUGGGGCAGGCCACUGUUUCACUACAGACUGGAACUGAACUAACAGGCAACAGAAGAGAGAGCACCAGAGACAAGAUUCUGCAAACUUACAGCUCUGUGUUUCUUCCUGAGAACUCCCAGAUUAUACAUGAAGAUGCCUGUGAAGGGAGAAGACAGGGUGCCUAAACCCAAGAAGAGGUGGGACUGACUUCUAUUUUGACAUGCUGGAAACCCAGACAGACUCCUUUCUUUUUCAACUUCUCAUGGACACCAUAAAGAACAGCACGCUAGGCCAGGGCAUUCUGGACCUACAGGAUGAUGCACGGCAUUCCCACCACAGAAGAAAAAGACAGGGAAUGACAUCAUAGCAUCAGAACUCCAUGGUGACUGGUGGUAAUCAGAAGCAAUAGGUUGGCCGUCUUUCUGCUUUACCACAGCUUCUGUUCCGUCAUUUUCUUUGAGGCUGUUUGCUCACAUGAAACUGCUGACCAGGAGACUUCAAAUUAUGCCAAAAUAUUUAUAAACGGUCAUCCCCUUGGGAAAGAGGGAGAGGGAGAAUAUUGCUUGUUUUAAAAGAAACCUUAAUGCAGGGCAGGUGAAUGGCUAAUUUCUCCAUUUAUCUUUUUAACGCGAAGAGGGGGAAAAAAAAGCCUGCUUCCCCCCGAUCUAAAGUCUUCGCAGUGGCUACCUCACAUGUCACUUCUCACACAGCCUUAAGCCUUUCAAACUGGCAGUUCGGCAACCCUCAGGUUGAUAGUGCAGAGGUGCUAAGUGCAUUUGAUUGGUAUCAUUACUGGUCUCUAGUAAUUGAUUACUGUCCAUGGUGAAAUAUUCAGGGCAAGCACACAGCCAAUAGCAAUCACUUAAUCCAUCAUGGCUGUUUGUUUCUCAUCUCCUGAGACCUAUCAGCCACAUGCUAUCCGACCCCACCAGGCAAAUUGCUGAUGGCUGCUUUGUGUGUACAGUUUACUGUGUGUUUACUGCAUUUCCUGUGUUCUCUCAGACCGCCAGCUUUGCUGAACGGAGCAGCGCAGGGGAGGUUCUUGCUUUGCAAUGUCAAAUUCGCUCUGCGGUUAACCUCUCUGGCCCUCUUUUCAUGGAGAUUCGUGAUUCGUUGGCAUUGGUUUUUGUUGCUUUAAAAAAAAAAGUCGAAUGGCAUAGUGGUUGUAUUAGGAAUAUUAAUUGUAAGACUUGAGAUAGGUUGAUUGGAAUAAGAUCCUGGAGGGUUGUUUGUAAUGCAGAUUUUUUAGAAACAAGAAGUGGGAGAAUAAUGAAUAACAACCAGAACUAAUCAGUUGUGUGCGUGUGUGCGUGUGUGUGUUUAAUCCACUGAUGAUGACUAAAAGUCGUUAUUAAAAAAAAAAAAGUAGACAUCAGUGGAUACACAGUUUUCUCAGCUUCCUUCCAAGAUGUUUUCUCCUUGGAUCUUGGCGACUGUGCCUGUCCCUGAUAGUACACUAAGGAACUUUGAUACUCAAUGCAAGGGGACCCAAGAGAAGGAGAAGGAGGUCAGCCGAGAGACGAAUAAAUAAGUGACUGUUACAUGUAAUAUACUCAGAUGACAAGAGAUAAUAUUGUCUGUCACCAAAAGCAGAAAAAGCAGUUUGUACCUGGCCAUCUAUGGGGGGAAGAUGAGAGCCAUGGACGAAAGUGUUGGUCUGCUGCCCUGCUCCUCCUGAUACCGCUUUCGGUAGAGCUGGAGGAACAACAUGAUUGGUGCUAAUAGGUCCACCAGUGAACUUGGGAAGCCAGCGGGAAUGAGACUGAGAAGAGUAGGAGAAAGUAUCAUAUUAGAGAUGGCAAGGAGAUCUGGUCUAUUUGCGUAGCCCAUCUUUAAGAGCUUGUAUUCCAAAAUUUACAGAAAGAAAUUGUUGUGAGGGUCUCAGUGGAGACCUUUGUUGCCUCUUUGGGUGUUUUUUCUUCGUUUCUUGCAUCCUCCUUGGCAUCUGUGGCACAUGGUGGAAGUCUAGCUAAUUCCCCACAAGCCAGGGCAAAUAUGGACAUGUGGGUCCUGCCCCGAGAUGAGGCUUUCAGUGGGCACCUACCUACAUGUGCUGAUUUCUAGAGAGCACAGAAUCUUAAUCCUUAUGCAUAUGCAUUCUUCAUUUGGGGCUUCUUAGCGAAACGACAUAGACAGCUGGUUUAAGUGAUUCCCAAGUUAAUUGGGCAUGUUUCACUGUUGAUCACAAUCCAUUUUAGCUCAGAUAAACAGUUUAAGCACAUCUAAAAGCACUGACCUUUUAUUGCAUGCUACGAGACUUAAACUGUUGCGGAGUAUUGGCUCAUCCUUCAGCCUGUUACCCAACAUGUGAUGUUUGGGGAUCUUUGAAAUGUGAUCUUUCCUUCUCCAGAGCUCUGCUCCGUGGUAAGAUUCCCCUUGGUGUUACAGCCCUCUUCUCACACUCGAGUCAGUCACAUUGAGAACUAAAAUAGCUGCCAGUAAGUUCAGCUCUAUUGCUGGAAAUGUCUAGACCUAGCCUGUAGUAUGCUGGUACCUGUCACUCUUCUGUACUUAUUUACCACUCAGCAAUGUUGAACAGUGUUGGCCAUCACCUCUCUAUAAAAACAUUGGUGUUCAUGCUGCUGAAAAAGCUCCAUAUUGUGGGAUUCUAUUUUUAUGACAUUCUGUAAAAGGCAAAACUACAGAGAUAAACAGAACAGUGGCUGCCAGGUAUUGGAGGGAACGGGAGGGUUGAAUAGGUGAAGCACAGGGGAGUUUUUAGGGUGGUGAAACUAUUCUUUAUGAUACUACAAUGAUGAAACAUGACACUGCGUUUAUCAAAACUGAUUGAACUUUACGGUACAAAGCGUGAACCUUACUGUAUACAAACUUUAAAAAUGUAUUUUUGGGGAGUCAGAAGAUACUAGAUAGAAUGCAAAUUUUGACAGAGAAAUCUACUACAUAUAUAUGAAAUAGCUUCAUUGAAGAGAGUGGGGAACAAAGGUGCUGACCUAUGUGGCUUUAGAAAUAAGUAGGGCCUGCAAAACUCAAGGCAAAAGGAGCCAUACAUAAGCACUGUUCUCUAAUUGAUAGUUUUUUUUCCUGUGGAAGGUACAGAUGAACAAUUCUGAAACAACUGUAAUGGAUAUUGAAAUUGAACAACCUCGUAAAUGGAUGGUGGAUUGUGGGGGGCAGUUUUCUAACUGUUGAGAAGUGGGGUGUUAACGGCAAAACAAGGAGAGAAGGCUAGAAUGAUCCUUCGGGUAAUCGACUAGCAUUGGAGACAUUGAUUUCAACUCCUGUUCAUAAUUCAUGUGUUGAAAUCCCAAUCCCCCAUUCCUCAGAAUAGAACAAGAUUUGGAGAUAAGGUCCCUGAGUAAGUUAAAAUGAGGCCAUGAGGGUAGGGUCCUAAACCACUAUGACUGCGGUUCCUGUAAGAAAAGGAAGAGGCACCAGGGGUACACACGCACAAGAAACAACUGUGUGAGAAGACAGCAAGAGAGAAUAGCCAGAUAUCUGCAUGCCAGGGAAAGGGGCCUCAGAAGAACCCAGCCCUUAAUGACAUUGAUCUUGGACCUCCAGCCUCCAGACCUGUGAGAAAUUACAUUUCCAUUGUUUAAGCCACUCAGUCUGUGGUAUUUUGCUCCAGCAGCCCGAGCAAACAAAUGCACAAUUCUAAAAUAAAAGGUUAUUUAAAAAAAACAA